RNAcentral lists this non-coding RNA (45 nucleotides) under Schistosoma mattheei. The record is from RNAcentral. Lineage: Eukaryota; Metazoa; Platyhelminthes; Trematoda; Strigeidida; Schistosomatidae.
AUUCAGAUGACGAGUCCCAAAUAGAAUGAAACACGUGUCCUGGAU